GAUGAAGAACGUAGCGAAAUGCGAUACGUAAUGUGAAUUGCAGAAUUCAGUGAAUCAUCGAAUCUUUGAACGCAUAUUGCGCUCUCUGGUAUUCCGGAGAGCAUGCUUGUUUGAGUAUCAGUAAACACCUCAACUCCCUUUUCUUUUUUGAAAUUGGAGCUGGACUUGAGUGAUCCCAACGCUUUCUUCCAAGAAAGUGGCGGGUUGCUUGAAAUGCAGGUGCAGCUGAACUUUUCUCUGAGCUAUAAGCAUAUCUAUUUAGUCUGCCUAAAAAACAGAUUAUUACCCUUGCUGCAGCUAACAUAAAGGAGACUAGUUCUUGUGCUGACUGAUGCAGGAUUCACAGAGACAGCUUCGGCUGACUUUGUAAACUCGAUCUCAAAUCAAGUAAGACUACCCGCUGAACUUAAGCAUAUCAAUAAGCGGAGGA
Molecule: unclassified non-coding RNA, 430 nt
Filed under: soil metagenome
Description: partial contains 5.8S ribosomal RNA, internal transcribed spacer 2, and large subunit ribosomal RNA
Rfam family: 5.8S ribosomal RNA (bases 1-120)
Source: RNAcentral